Molecule: ribosomal RNA, 468 nt
Filed under: uncultured bacterium
Lineage: Bacteria
Description: partial 16S ribosomal RNA
Rfam family: Bacterial small subunit ribosomal RNA
Source: RNAcentral
GACGAACGCUGGCGGCGUGCUUAACACAUGCAAGUCGAACGGAAAGGCCCUGCUUUUGUGGGGUGCUCGAGUGGCGAACGGGUGAGUAACACGUGAGUAACCUGCCCUUGACUUUGGGAUAACUUCAGGAAACUGGGGCUAAUACCGGAUAGGAGCUCCUGCUGCAUGGUGGGGGUUGGAAAGUUUCGGCGGUUGGGGAUGGACUCGCGGCUUAUGAGCUUGUUGGUGGGGUAGUGGCUUACCAAGGCUGUGACGGGUAGGCGGCCUGAGAGGGGGACCGGGCACAAUGGUACUGCGAUACGGCCCAGACUCCUACGGGAGGCAGCAGUGGGGAGUAUUGCACAAUGGGCGGAAGCCUGAUGCAGCAACGCCGCGUGCGGGAUGACGGCUUUCGGGUUGUAAACCGCUUUCGCCUGUGACGAAGCGUGAGUGACGGUAAUGGGUAAAGAAGCACCGGCUAACUACGUG